GCCGGUAAGGUGAUAUGAACCGUUAUAACCGGCGAUACCCGAAUGGGGAAACCCAGUGUGACUCGUCACACUAUCAUUAACUGAAUCCAUAGGUUAAUGAGGCGAACCGGGGGAACUGAAACAUCUAAGUACCCCGAGGAAAAGAAAUCAACCGAGAUUCCCCCAGUAGCGGCGAGCGAACGGGGAGGAGCCCAGAGCCUGAAUCAGCAUGUGUGUUAGUGGAAGCGUCUGGAAAGGCGCGCGAUACAGGGUGACAGCCCCGUACACAAAAGCGCAUGUGCUGUGAGCUCGAUGAGUAGGGCGGGACACGUGGUAUCCUGUCUGAAUAUGGGGGGACCAUCCUCCAAGGCUAAAUACUCCUGACUGACCGAUAGUGAACCAGUACCGUGAGGGAAAGGCGAAAAGAACCCCGGCGAGGGGAGUGAAAAAGAACCUGAAACCGU
Molecule: ribosomal RNA, 443 nt
Filed under: Salmonella enterica subsp. enterica serovar Rubislaw
Lineage: Bacteria; Pseudomonadati; Pseudomonadota; Gammaproteobacteria; Enterobacterales; Enterobacteriaceae
Also listed under: 3 other names
Description: partial 23S ribosomal RNA
Rfam family: Bacterial large subunit ribosomal RNA
Source: RNAcentral